UCUUUCCAGGAUUCCUGUACCUGCAGUUGGAGCUGUGAGAGGCCACCUCCUCUGAAACUAAUCGGAGCUUCCAGCAUAACUUGCACCUGACUGAGUUAAUAAUGGUGACAAAGAAGCUUGAAGGUGCUGCUUCUGACAUGGCUGCCUGGCUUACAAAUGUUGGUAUCGAGUACAGGCUAGGUUCUUAUCAGUGUCCUCACCUUCUCAGAGUGCUCUGAGGGCCCGUCCAGGAUGGCGGCCAGAUUGAUGAUGAUGGCUUAGCAGUCCCAGCUGGAGGAGAAUCACAGGAUUUUCGGCCUGACUGAAGGUGAUCCAGAGGAUCUCCCGGGAGGAGUGGAGGCUCUACUGUCGGAGGAGGACACAUGGGGCAGAGGAGAUGGCCCUUCUCAUCCAGGACCGCCACGUCACCCUGUGGAUGUCCUGUUGCUGGACUCGGCAUCCAGGACAUAUGGAGUACACAGAGGCGCCACCUUAGCUGCAUUCAGGACCCACCUGGUGUGCAGCUGUACACAGAGACUGGUAAGCUGACAAAGGGCGGGGUCAGCCUGCCGGUUUUCCUCCUCCUCCUCUUCCUCCAGACGAUGAACAGCCUUGCCACUCAUCCAGUGUUGUCGGUCCUCCCAUCACUGUGUACCCAUGACCAGAGCCUACAGGAAGAGGAAGGCAACCGAAUCUGCUGUUGCAGGGUGGGGGCCACUGCCUGGAGGCAAAACCCGCUGGCAGCCAACAUCAUACGCCUGCAGCAAGUGAGGCCAACCCAAAAGGAUUGACACUGACCACACUCACAUUGCAGACGUGUCACACUGUGUGACUGUUUGCGGAAAGACUGUGGAGGAGUGGAGGGAGGAGAUGACAUGAUCGGAUGACAACUUUUUCUAUCUUCAUUUAUAAUUUUUGAUUUAAAUUAUUAUUAUAUUUUAGUUAGUUUUUUUUUGGAGUAGUGCUUGCUUCACCUGAUGUCUCAUGAUGAUCUCAGUCCAGUGUUCCCCCUCUUUUAUCUCUGUGUUUGGUCUCCACAAGCUCCUUGGGGAAAUAUCUGUCUCUUUAACUGCUAAAUGCUCCAUUAUGUUCACCAGCUGCUCUCUGACUAUCUGUCUGCUGUUUGCUGGUGAGAAGGUAGUGGACAGUGGCUUUUUACAGCUGUUUAUCUGAAAACAGCUUCCUGCUAUAGCCAAAAAAGUAUAAACAGUAGCUAUAUAUUCUAUUAUAUUGUUUUCUACUCUAUUAUUGUUGUUCAAGCUGACAUGUCAUACUGAGUGGGUGGAGAUUCAACUGUCAGAGGACAGGGGAGGAGAUUGCAUAGGGGAGUUUACAAAAGCACUGGGUGUGUACAACCGAGAUCCCUUUGUGAAAUACCAUGAUGCCACACCAGUAAGUUGCUGUAAACUAAUGCCCUUUGUUUUAUAUUAUUUAUUGUUUAUUUAUUUCAAAUUGUUUACCUUUAAUGAAUCUUAAUUUAUGACUUUAUUUGACCUAAAAAUUGUUAGUAAGGCAAAUCAAUCCAUCCAUUCAUCCUUCCAAGAGUUCCUUGCUGAAUUUCCUGAACAAAAGAAAUGGUUAUAUGGCUCUUUGAUCCAUGUGUUUAAUGUGCACAACAAUCAGUGUCCAGAACAUAGUCUCUUUACAGUCUUUUUGCAAUUGUAUUUGUUGCAACUAUCCUGACCAGAAAUUAGCCACCCAGCUGGGUCUGGAAGAAGACCUUGCUUUUCUUGAUGUCACCCAUUCAUCAUUAGCUGGUCAAUGGGAUCUGUGCCACAUAUAGACUCCACCAGUCCCAUUAAUCUACACUACAACCUGUUAUAUGGCUUGACCUAGACUACACAUACAAACAACCAUAAAUGCACGGACCUAAUAGAUGUCUACUACAAUAUUAUGUUAUGUUAUAUCAUUGUGUCUUUGAAAAUGUUUCUAAAUAAAAGAAUAGUCAUUCCACAAUCUACA
Molecule: long non-coding RNA, 1941 nt
Organism: Seriola aureovittata
Lineage: Eukaryota; Metazoa; Chordata; Actinopteri; Carangiformes; Carangidae
Exons: 2
Source: RefSeq, a predicted model, not a curated record